AACCUAUGUUAAGGACAUUUCCGCAAGAGCUCCUUGAACCUAUCCCAUGUCUCAAAAAGAGACUCCAAUUCCGUUUGCACAAAGAAGAAAAUUUCAUUCCUGAGCAU
Small nucleolar RNA from Dioscorea cayenensis subsp. rotundata (Guinea yam), 107 nucleotides. The record is from RefSeq and is a predicted model, not a curated record. Lineage: Eukaryota; Viridiplantae; Streptophyta; Magnoliopsida; Dioscoreales; Dioscoreaceae.